Molecule: ribosomal RNA, 1044 nt
Filed under: Rhizoclosmatium globosum
Lineage: Eukaryota; Fungi; Chytridiomycota; Chytridiomycetes; Chytridiales; Chytriomycetaceae
Description: SSU rRNA
Rfam family: Eukaryotic small subunit ribosomal RNA
Source: RNAcentral
GCAUGUCUAAGUAUAAACUCGUUUGUACUGUGUGAAACUGCGAAUGGCUCAUUAAAUCAGUUAUAGUUUAUUUGAUAUAACCUUACUACUUGGAUAUCCGUGGUAAUUCUAGAGCUAAUACAUGCAAUUAAAAUCCUGACUUCUGGAAGGGAUGUAUUUAUUAGAUAAAAAACCAACCCGGCAACGGUUCUUUGGUGAUUCAUAGUAACUUUUCGAAUCGCAUGACUUUACGUCGGCGAUGGUUCAUUCAAAUUUCUGCCCUAUCAAGUUUCGAUGGUAGGAUAGAGGCCUACCAUGCUUUUUACGGGUAACGGCGAAUUAGGGUUCGAUUCCGGAGAGGGAGCCUGAGAAACGGCUACCACAUCUAAGGAAGGCAGCAGGCGCGCAAAUUACCCAAUCCUGAUUCAGGGAGGUAGUGACAAUAAAUAACAAUCCAGGGCUUUUGUCUUGGAAUUGGAAUGAGAACAAUUUAAAUCUCUUAACGAGGAACAAUUGGAGGGCAAGUCUGGUGCCAGCAGCCGCGGUAAUUCCAGCUCCAAUAGCGUAUAUUAAAGUUGUUGCAGUUAAAUAGCUCGUAGUUGAAUCUUGGGCCUGGUUUGGCGGUCGCGCUUUAGGGCGUGUACUGUCGGCCGGGUCUUUUACUUGCGGGGAACGUGCGUGCCUCUCGGGGUGUGUACGGGAACCGUGGCUAUUACUUUGAAAAAAUUAGAGUGUUUAAAGCAGGCGUAAGCUUGUAUACAUUAGCAUGGAAUAAUAGAAUAGGACUUUGGUUUUAUUUUGUUGGUUUCUAGGGCCGAAGUAAUGAUUAAUAGGGAUAGUUGGGGGCAUUAGUAUUUAAUAGUCAGAGGUGAAAUUCUUGGAUUUAUGAAAGACUAACUUCUGCGAAAGCAUUUGCCAAGGAUGUUUUCAUUAAUCAAGAACGAAAGUCAGGGGAUCGAAGAUGAUCAGAUACCGUCGUAGUCCUGACCGUAAACUAUGCCGACUAGGGAUCGGGCGUUGUAUUUCAUGACACGCUCGGCACCUUAUGAGAAAUCAAAGUCUUGG